GACGAACGCUGGCGGCGUGCCUAAUACAUGCAAGUUGAGCGCUGAAGGUUGGUACUUGUACCAACUGGAUGAGCAGCGAACGGGUGAGUAACGCGUGGGGAAUCUGCCUUUGAGCGGGGGACAACAUUUGGAAACGAAUGCUAAUACCGCAUAAAAACUUUAAACACAAGUUUUAAGUUUGAAAGAUGCAAUUGCAUCACUCAAAGAUGAUCCCGCGUUGUAUUAGCUAGUUGGUGAGGUAAAGGCUCACCAAGGCGAUGAUACAUAGCCGACCUGAGAGGGUGAUCGGCCACAUUGGGACGGAGACACGGCCCAAACGCCUACGGGAGGCAGCAGCAGGGAAUCUUCGGCAAUGGACGAAAGUCUGACCGAGCAACGCCGCGUGAGGGAAGAAGGUUGUCGGAUCGUAAAACUCUGUUGGUAGAGAAGAACGUUGGUGAGAGUGGAAAGCUCAUCAAGUGACGGUAACUACCCAGAAAGGGACGGCUAACUACGUG
Molecule: ribosomal RNA, 497 nt
Filed under: uncultured bacterium
Lineage: Bacteria
Description: partial 16S ribosomal RNA
Rfam family: Bacterial small subunit ribosomal RNA
Source: RNAcentral